CAGUGAAUUUUUCAACGGCCGCGGUACUCUGACCGUGCAAAGGUAGCAUAAUCAUUUGCCUUAUAAUUGAAGGCUUGUAUGAAUGGUUUGACAAGAAUAUAGCUGUCUCUUUAUAAUUAAAUAGAAUUUUAUUUAUAGGUGAAGAAGCCUAUAUAGUAUUGAAAGACAAGAAGACCCUAUCGAGCUUGAAAGAAGUUAAUAAAUUUUACUGUUUAAUAUAAUAUAAAAAAUUAAUUAUUAAAAAUUUUGGUUGGGGCGACUAAGGAACAAAUAAAGCUUCCUUUAUUUUAGUAAUACAACCAAGUGAGGAUCCAAAAACUUUGAUUAAAGGAAUUAGUUACCGUAGGGAUAACAGCAUUAUCUUUUUUGAGAGCUCUAAUCGAAAAAAAGGUUUGUGACCUCGAUGUUGGACCAAAAUAUCCUAAAGAUGCAGCCGUCUUUAAGGGUUGGUCUGUUCAACCAUUAAAAUUCUACGUGAUCUGAGUUCAGACCGGCGUGAGCCAGGUCAGUUUCUAUCUUCAAUUUUUAAAAUAAGUUUAGUACGAAAGGACCAAUUUAUUACAAAAUAUUUGUUUUAUCUAGAUGAAAUAUAAAGAAAAAUUAAAUAAAUU
RNAcentral lists this ribosomal RNA (611 nucleotides) under Pagodula echinata. Its description in RNAcentral is "partial 16S ribosomal RNA". It matches the Rfam family "Bacterial large subunit ribosomal RNA", at positions 1910 to 2761 of the family's 2925-position model. The record is from RNAcentral. Lineage: Eukaryota; Metazoa; Mollusca; Gastropoda; Neogastropoda; Muricidae.